Camelus dromedarius (Arabian camel) is the source of this 1253-nucleotide long non-coding RNA. RefSeq lists it as uncharacterized. The record is from RefSeq and is a predicted model, not a curated record. Lineage: Eukaryota; Metazoa; Chordata; Mammalia; Artiodactyla; Camelidae. The transcript has 6 exons.
UAGCAGGGAGGGCCGGAGUUCUCCAGGAUCAGGUGCAGCUGCGCUGCCCACAGCACUCAGUCCGGCUCACAGUGCCGGGCUCAGCGUCUCAGCCACGGCCUGCUGCCACGGCAUCCUGAAGUGUCGGGCAGAGCCCUUUUGCAGAAGAAGCUCUUCCUCUACUGUGUCAGGGAAAGGCCUCUGCACCCUACAAGCAAGUGAAACUAGACUGAGCACAAAGGAACAGAAGAAAAAAAGUGGCUUUGUGUCUCUCAAUGUCGAGAAAGGAUCUUUCCUGGGUGUAAUGUCUCACAUCGAAGAAAAAGUGCGUAAGUUGGAAACCUAUGAAGAUCACAUUCAAGGGUGAGGAGAGAGAUCUUUCAGGUUUACAGGGACAUCAUGACCAGACCUACCUGGACAGAUGCAAGAACAAAAGAUUAUCACAAUCCCUCCAGGAACUUGCCAGCACCAAGUAUUCUGCAACAACCAGCCAUAUCCUCUCCCCUUUUAGUAUAAAAGAAGCCUGAAUUCUAACUCGGGUUGCAUCUAUGAAUCUCAUCCAGGUUCCACUGAUUCCUCUAAUCACCUUGGACCAUCAGAAAUUACACAUAGAGGGCAGAAGCUGUACUUCAUGUGUGACAGAGAAUAUGGGGGUCAUAGUCACUCCUACUCCAGCUUGCUAGAAUUCAGUCCCAGGAGAGGCAAGCCAAGAAGACCUGAGGUUAUCACCUGCUCCCAGUGUGUUGCUUGUAAAGGAAGACUGUAACUCUGGGAAAAGUAGGGCACUGUCUCAUGCCCAGCUCUGGAGUCACUACUCCAGAGAUUUUGCCUGGAGAAAAAGGUCCUGAAACAAAUGAAAAGGAAGCCCUAGAUAAUCAUCACGUGGAACCAACAUGUGAAGCCAGGAAGCUAUUAAAGGAACAAGUAUGGAGAGUAUAGAAAGCAUUGUCAAGAUGGUGAAGGAGGCAGAAGAAUAAUUCUAAUACAACAAGAAUGUACAAUAAGCAUGCGGUCUUGUUAUGUGUUUGUGUGCUAGGGUGUGCCUACGGGGCUCAGUGUUUUUGCCCGGCCCUUGGCCUGAUGCGGCAUAUAAUGGGUACUCAGUAAAGAUUUUUUUUUUUUUAAUGAAUUAGUGACUGUGACACAAUUUGGAAUUCUGGGCAUUUUUUUCUGGACUGUUCACAAAUUUUUUUGCCUUGAGUUACACAAAUACAAUAUAAGCCUAUGUAUUUUUAGGUCUUUCAAGUGAAAUUUUUAGCAUAAUCUAUUUAAAA